GACGAACCGUCCUAACGUUGUUCGGAUUCACUGGGCUUAAAGGGCGCGUAGGCGGACUGGUAAGUCCGGGGUGAAAUCUUUCGGCUCAACCGGAAAAGUGCCUUGGAAACUGCCAGUCUCGAGGGGGGUAGGGGCCUGUGGAACUUCGGGUGGAGCGGUGAAAUGCGUUGAUAUCCGAAGGAACGCCGGUGGCGAAGGCGGCAUCCUGGACCAAUUCUGACACUGAGGAGCGAAAGCCAGGGGAGCAAACGGG
RNAcentral lists this ribosomal RNA (253 nucleotides) under uncultured bacterium. Its description in RNAcentral is "partial 16S ribosomal RNA". It matches the Rfam family "Bacterial small subunit ribosomal RNA", at positions 524 to 776 of the family's 1533-position model. The record is from RNAcentral.